RNAcentral lists this ribosomal RNA (468 nucleotides) under uncultured bacterium. RNAcentral's name for it is "partial 16S ribosomal RNA". It matches the Rfam family "Bacterial small subunit ribosomal RNA", at positions 28 to 507 of the family's 1533-position model. The record is from RNAcentral.
GACGAACGCUGGCGGCGUGCUUAACACAUGCAAGUCGAACGGGAAGGCCCUGCUUUUGGGGGGUGCUCGAGUGGCGAAAGGGUGAGUAACACGUGAGUAACCUGCCCUUGACUUUGGGAUAACUUCAUGAAACGGGGGCUAAUACCGGAUAGGAGCGCCUGCUGCAUGGUGGGGGGUGGAGAGUUUCUGCGGUUGGGGAUGGACUGGCGGCGUAUGAGCUUGUGGGUGGGGUAGUGGCUUACCAGGGGUUUGACGGGUAGCCGGGCGGCGCGGGGGACCGGCCACGUUGGGAACGAGAUACGGCCCAGACUGCUGCGGGAGGUAGACGUGGGGAAGAAUCCACAAUGGGCGGAGGCCUGAUGCAGCAGCGCCGCGUCGGGGAGGACGGCCUUCGCGUUGUAGGCCGCUUUCGCCUGUGACGAAGCGGGAGUGACGGUAGUGGGUAAAGAAGCACCGGCUAACUACGUG